UAGACGGCUGGUGAUAAUUUUUCAUUUUAACCACUGCAUGUUCUCUCCUCUCUUUCAUUUAUCUUCUUCACUCAUAAACAACAGACCCCGACUAGCUCUCCUUGCCGUCAAUGUUCGCCCUGCCAUUCCUUACCGGCCGACCACCCGGUGCGGGUGGGCUUAAAGAAACUUCCUUGAGUUGAAGACACUCCCUUGCGCGCGCGCGCGCGUUUUCGUUGUUGUUGUUAUGGGUUUUAAUGUUUAUUUAAGAGUGAAAGUUU
This 260-nucleotide long non-coding RNA is filed under the name Populus tremula. RNAcentral describes it as "long non-coding RNA (PTRE_LNC001945)". Lineage: Eukaryota; Viridiplantae; Streptophyta; Magnoliopsida; Malpighiales; Salicaceae. The record is from RNAcentral.